RNAcentral lists this unclassified non-coding RNA (207 nucleotides) under Hevea brasiliensis (rubber tree). Lineage: Eukaryota; Viridiplantae; Streptophyta; Magnoliopsida; Malpighiales; Euphorbiaceae. The record is from RNAcentral.
AGAGGAUUAACCGAACAACAAGUAAUAAAUAUAAAGGUACACAACUCAUCAACAAAGCAAAGGGGCUGGUAGUGACCAUGAGUUUCGCAAAUGCAAAUGGAAAAAGAAGAACUAAAGGCAAGUGAUAGUGAUUAAAAUGCUUAUACUACAAAACCUCAUUUUUAGCAAAUGAAUAUGCAAAUUAAAGGUACAUAAAACCAUAAUCAA